Molecule: non-coding RNA, 41 nt
Organism: Tenacibaculum mesophilum
Lineage: Bacteria; Pseudomonadati; Bacteroidota; Flavobacteriia; Flavobacteriales; Flavobacteriaceae
Source: Rfam
UGGGCGACAACCGAAAAGCCUAAUUAUAAACAGAGUAGGUA